This 519-nucleotide ribosomal RNA is filed under the name uncultured Pseudomonadota bacterium. Its description in RNAcentral is "bacterial SSU rRNA". It matches the Rfam family "Bacterial small subunit ribosomal RNA", at positions 8 to 522 of the family's 1533-position model. The record is from RNAcentral. Lineage: Bacteria; Pseudomonadati; Pseudomonadota.
AGAGUUUGAUCAUGGCUCAGAUUGAACGCUGGCGGAAUGCUUUACACAUGCAAGUCGAACGGCAGCACGGGGGCAACCCUGGUGGCGAGUGGCGAACGGGUGAGUAAUACAUCGGAACGUGCCCAAUCGUGGGGGAUAACGUAGCGAAAGCUACGCUAAUACCGCAUACGAUCUACGGAUGAAAGCGGGGGAUCGCAAGACCUCGCGCGAAUGGAGCGGCCGAUGGCAGAUUAGGUAGUUGGUGGGGUAAAGGCUCACCAAGCCGACGAUCUGUAGCUGGUCUGAGAGGACGACCAGCCACACUGGGACUGAGACACGGCCCAGACUCCUACGGGAGGCAGCAGUGGGGAAUUUUGGACAAUGGGCGAAAGCCUGAUCCAGCCAUUCCGCGUGCAGGAUGAAGGCCCUCGGGUUGUAAACUGCUUUUGUACGGAACGAAAAGGCUCCUUCUAAUACAGGGGGCUCAUGACGGUACCGUAAGAAUAAGCACCGGCUAACUACGUGCCAGCAGCCGCGGUA